This 892-nucleotide ribosomal RNA is filed under the name Hermatomyces saikhuensis. RNAcentral describes it as "SSU rRNA". It matches the Rfam family "Eukaryotic small subunit ribosomal RNA", at positions 72 to 973 of the family's 1831-position model. The record is from RNAcentral. Lineage: Eukaryota; Fungi; Ascomycota; Dothideomycetes; Pleosporales; Hermatomycetaceae.
AAUUAUACCGUGAAACUGCGAAUGGCUCAUUAAAUCAGUUAUCGUUUAUUUGAUAGUACCUUACUACUUGGAUAACCGUGGUAAUUCUAGAGCUAAUACAUGCUAAAAACCCCGACUUCGGGAGGGGUGUAUUUAUUAGAUAAAAAACCAAUGCCCUUCGGGGCUCUUUGGUGAUUCAUGAUAACUUAACGGAUCGCAUGGCCUUGCGCCGGCGACGGUUCAUUCAAAUUUCUGCCCUAUCAACUUUCGAUGGUAAGGUAUUGGCUUACCAUGGUUUCAACGGGUAACGGGGAAUUAGGGUUCGAUUCCGGAGAGGGAGCCUGAGAAACGGCUACCACAUCCAAGGAAGGCAGCAGGCGCGCAAAUUACCCAAUCCCGACUCGGGGAGGUAGUGACAAUAAAUACUGAUACAGGGCUCUUUUGGGUCUUGUAAUCGGAAUGAGUACAAUUUAAACCCCUUAACGAGGAACAAUUGGAGGGCAAGUCUGGUGCCAGCAGCCGCGGUAAUUCCAGCUCCAAUAGCGUAUAUUAAAGUUGUUGCAGUUAAAAAGCUCGUAGUUGAACCUUGGGCCUGGCUGGCCGGUCCGCCUCACCGCGUGUACUGGUCCGGCCGGGCCUUUCCUUCUGGAGAGCCGCAUGCCCUUCACUGGGUGUGUUGGGGAACCAGGACUUUUACUUUGAAAAAAUUAGAGUGUUCAAAGCAGGCCUUUGCUCGAAUACGUUAGCAUGGAAUAAUAGAAUAGGACGUGCGGUCCUAUUUUGUUGGUUUCUAGGACCGCCGUAAUGAUUAAUAGGGAUAGUCGGGGGCAUCAGUAUUCAAUUGUCAGAGGUGAAAUUCUUGGAUUUAUUGAAGACUAACUACUGCGAAAGCAUUUGCCAAGGAUGUUUUCAU